AGGUAGUCUAGUGGUUAGAGUGUAGAGGAGGCAGGUAGCCUAGUGGUUAGAGUGUAGAGGAGGCAGGUAGCCUAGUGGUUAGAGUGUAGAGGAGGCAGGUAGUCUAGUGGUUAGAGUGUAGAGGAGGCAGGUAGUCUAGUGGUUAGAGUGUAGAGGAGGCAGGUAGUCUAGUGGUUAGAGUGUAGAGGAGGCAGGUAGCCUAGUGGUUAGAGUGUAGAGGAGGCAGGUAGCCUAGUGGUUAGAGUGUAGAGGAGGCAGGUAGCCUAGUGGUUAGAUUGUAGAGGAGGCAGGUAGCCUAGUGGUUAGAGUGUAGAGGUGGCAGGUAGCCUAGUGGUUAGAGUGUAGAGGAGGCAGGUAGCCUAGUGGUUAGAGUGUAGAGGAGGCAGGUAGCCUAGUGGUUAGAGUGUAGAGGAGGCAGGUAGCCUAGUGGUUAGA
Long non-coding RNA from Oncorhynchus keta (chum salmon), 435 nucleotides. RefSeq lists it as uncharacterized. The transcript has 4 exons. Lineage: Eukaryota; Metazoa; Chordata; Actinopteri; Salmoniformes; Salmonidae. The record is from RefSeq and is a predicted model, not a curated record.